Molecule: ribosomal RNA, 464 nt
Filed under: uncultured bacterium
Lineage: Bacteria
Description: bacterial SSU rRNA
Rfam family: Bacterial small subunit ribosomal RNA
Source: RNAcentral
AUGGUUGUCGUCAGCUCGUGUCGUGAGAUGUUGGGUUAAGUCCCGCAACGAGCGCAACCCCUGUCGUUAGUUGCCAGCAUUCAGUUGGGGACUCUAACGAGACUGCCAGUGACAAACUGGAGGAAGGUGGGGAUGACGUCAAAUCAUCAUGCCCCUUAUGACCUGGGCUACACACGUGCUACAAUGGUUGGUACAAAGAGAAGCGAAGCGGUGACGUGGAGCAAACCUCAUAAAGCCAAUCUCAGUUCGGAUUGUAGGCUGCAACUCGCCUACAUGAAGUUGGAAUCGCUAGUAAUCGCGAAUCAGAAUGUCGCGGUGAAUACGUUCCCGGGUCUUGUACACACCGCCCGUCACACCACGAGAGUUUACAACACCCGAAGUCAGUGGCCUAACCGCAAGGAGGGAGCUGCCUAAGGUGGGGUAGAUGAUUGGGGUGAAGUCGUAACAAGGUAUCCCUACCGGAA